RNAcentral lists this ribosomal RNA (497 nucleotides) under uncultured bacterium. RNAcentral describes it as "partial 16S ribosomal RNA". It matches the Rfam family "Bacterial small subunit ribosomal RNA", at positions 28 to 507 of the family's 1533-position model. The record is from RNAcentral.
GAUGAACGCUGGCGGCGUGCCUAAUACAUGCAAGUCGAGCGAACAGACGAGGAGCUUGCUCCUCUGACGUUAGCGGCGGACGGGUGUGUAACACGUGGAUAACCUACCUAUAAGACUGGGAUAACUUCGGGAAACCGGAGCUAAUUCCGGCUAACAUGCUGAACCGCAUGGUUCAACAGUGAAAGACGGCUUUGCUUUCACUUAUAGAUGGAUCCGCGUCGCAUUAGCUAGUUGGUAAGGUAACGGCUUACCAAGGCCACGAUGCGUAGCCGACCUGAGAGGGUGAUCAGCCACACUGGAACUGAGACACGGUCCAGACUCCUACGGGAGGCAGCAGUAGGGAAUCUUGCGCAAUGGGCGAAAGCCUGACGGAGCAACGCCGCGUGAGUGAAGAAGGUCUUCGGAUCGUAAAACUCUGUUAUUAGGGAAGAACAAAGGUGUAAGUAACUAUGCACGUCUUGACGGUACCUAAUCAGAAAGCCACGGCUAACUACGUG